Molecule: small nuclear RNA, 67 nt
Filed under: Daphnia magna
Lineage: Eukaryota; Metazoa; Arthropoda; Branchiopoda; Diplostraca; Daphniidae
Source: RNAcentral
GCAGAGAAGAUUAGCAUGGCCCCUGCGCAAGAAUGACACGCAAAGUCGUGAAGCGUUCCACAUUUUU